GAGAUGAAACAGGGGUGCUGCGGACGGCGCGAUGCAAGCGACGGGACGCGGCUGAGAGAGUCCCUUGGCACCCGAUCCGGAUAAUACCGGCGAGGGGAGUUUUCCAUCGUACGCC
RNAcentral lists this non-coding RNA (115 nucleotides) under Robbsia andropogonis. Its description in RNAcentral is "Burkholderia andropogonis TPP sequence". It matches the Rfam family "TPP riboswitch aptamer (THI element)". From Rfam's summary of the family: Vitamin B(1) in its active form thiamin pyrophosphate (TPP) is an essential coenzyme that is synthesised by coupling of pyrimidine and thiazole moieties in bacteria. The previously detected thiamin-regulatory element, thi box was extended, resulting in a new, highly conserved RNA secondary structure, the THI element, which is widely distributed in eubacteria and also occurs in some archaea. Analysis of operon structures identified a large number of new candidate thiamin-regulated genes, mostly transporters, in various prokaryotic organisms. Lineage: Bacteria; Pseudomonadati; Pseudomonadota; Betaproteobacteria; Burkholderiales; Burkholderiaceae. The record is from Rfam by way of RNAcentral.